CACAUGCACACAAUUACACACAGAGGGAGUCACUGUGCAGCUGUGACGGCUGGACAACACACACACACACACACAGGAGGUGUGUAACGGAUUGAACCCCCCCUCAUAGCUGCGCUGUCUUCGAGGUCGCAGGCGGAUGAGACCACAGCUGCUUGGACAUAAAUUUCCAAAAGGAAUGUCGGAGCACUCGGCAUAAAAACCAAGACUGUGUGUGUGUGUGUGUGAGGAGGAGGAGGAGGAGUGUGUGUGUGUGUGUGUGUGUGUGUGCAGGAGGAGUAGUGUGUGCAGGAGGAGGAGUGUGUGUGUGUGUG
This is a long non-coding RNA of Gasterosteus aculeatus aculeatus (three-spined stickleback), 311 nucleotides long. The record is from Ensembl. NCBI's taxonomy places the organism in Eukaryota, Metazoa, Chordata, Actinopteri, Perciformes, Gasterosteidae.